RNAcentral lists this ribosomal RNA (468 nucleotides) under uncultured bacterium. RNAcentral's name for it is "partial 16S ribosomal RNA". It matches the Rfam family "Bacterial small subunit ribosomal RNA", at positions 28 to 507 of the family's 1533-position model. The record is from RNAcentral.
GACGAACGCUGGCGGCGUGCUUAACACAUGCAAGUCGAACGGAAAGGCCCUGCUUUUGUGGGGUGCUCGAGUGGCGAACGGGUGAGUAACACGUGAGUAACCUGCCCUUGACUUUGGGAUAACUUCAGGAAACUGGGGCUAAUACCGGAUAGGAGCUCCUGCUGCAUGGUGGGGGUUGGAAAGUUUCGGCGGUUGGGGAUGGACUCGCGGCUUAUCAGCCUGUUGGUGGGGUAGUGGAUUACCAAGGCUUUGACGGGUAGCCGGCCUGAGAGGGUGACCGGCCACAUUGGGACUGAGAUACGGCCCAGACUCCUACGGGAAGCAGCAGUGGGGAAUAUUGCACAAUGGGCGGAAGCCUGAUGCAGCAACGCCGCGUGCGGGAUGACGGCCUUCGGGUUGUAAACCGCUUUCGCCUGUGACGAAGCGUGAGUGACGGUAAUGGGUAAAGAAGCACCGGCUAACUACGUG